GACGAACGCUGGCGGCGUGCUUAACACAUGCAAGUCGAACGAAGAGCGACGGAAGCUUGCUUCUAUCAAUCUUAGUGGCGAACGGGUGAGUAACGCGUAAUCAACCUGCCCUUCAGAGGGGGACAACAGUUGGAAACGACUGCUAAUACCACAUACGCUCUAAUCUCGGCAUCGAGGGUGGAUGAAAGGUGGCAUCUACUUGUAAGCUUACAAUGAAGGAGGGGAUUGCGUUUGAUUAGCUAGUUGGAGGGGUAACGGCCCACCAAGGCGAUGAUCAGUAGCCGGUCUGAGAGGAUGAACGGCCACAUUGGGACUGAGACACGGCCCAGACUCCUACGGGAGGCAGCAGUGGGGAAUCUUCCGCAAUGGACGAAAGUCUGACGGAGCAACGCCGCGUGAGUGAUGACGGCCUUCGGGUUGUAAAGCUCUGUUAAUCGGGACGAAAGGCCUUCUUGCGAAUAGUGAGAAGGAUUGACGGUACCGGAAUAGAAAGCCACGGCUAACUACGUG
This 510-nucleotide ribosomal RNA is filed under the name uncultured bacterium. RNAcentral describes it as "partial 16S ribosomal RNA". It matches the Rfam family "Bacterial small subunit ribosomal RNA", at positions 28 to 507 of the family's 1533-position model. The record is from RNAcentral.